CUUGGGGGUUGCUUGGGACCCCACUUUGGCAUUUGUUUGCCACAUUUUUCUAAGCUGGAUGUUCAUUAGUACCCAGGGGCUAUGGCCAAGCCAAGUUCCUCCACUCCACUCUGUUCUCUUCUACUGCAAGCCUCCAGCCUGAGCCUAGUAAAUGAGUCCCGCUCUUCAUGCCCUCAACUUUCUUCUCUCCACUAACUCUGCUUUAUGAGGGAACACAACUCUGUAAACAUCAGAAUACAGGAAGAGCAAAAGAGAGAGAG
This 260-nucleotide long non-coding RNA is filed under the name Bos taurus (domestic cattle). RNAcentral's name for it is "long non-coding RNA NONBTAT023582". Lineage: Eukaryota; Metazoa; Chordata; Mammalia; Artiodactyla; Bovidae. The record is from RNAcentral.